RNAcentral lists this ribosomal RNA (164 nucleotides) under Menispermum canadense. RNAcentral's name for it is "5.8S ribosomal RNA". It matches the Rfam family "5.8S ribosomal RNA". Rfam says of the family: 5.8S ribosomal RNA (5.8S rRNA) is a component of the large subunit of the eukaryotic ribosome. It is transcribed by RNA polymerase I as part of the 45S precursor that also contains 18S and 28S rRNA. RNAcentral also lists the same sequence under 1 other name. The record is from RNAcentral. Lineage: Eukaryota; Viridiplantae; Streptophyta; Magnoliopsida; Ranunculales; Menispermaceae.
UGAACGACUCUCGGCAACGGAUAUCUCGGCUCUCGCAUCGAUGAAGAACGUAGCGAAAUGCGAUACUUGGUGUGAAUUGCAGAAUCCCGUGAACCAUCGAGUCUUUGAACGCAAGUUGCGCCCGAGGCCACCAGGUCGAGGGCACGUCUGCCUGGGCGUCACGU